This 460-nucleotide ribosomal RNA is filed under the name uncultured bacterium. RNAcentral describes it as "partial 16S ribosomal RNA". It matches the Rfam family "Bacterial small subunit ribosomal RNA", at positions 338 to 795 of the family's 1533-position model. The record is from RNAcentral.
CCUACGGGAGGCAGCAGUGAGGAAUAUUGGUCAAUGGACGCAAGUCUGAACCAGCCAUGCCGCGUGCAGGAAGACGGCUCUAUGAGUUGUAAACUGCUUUUGUACGGGGGUAAACGCAGAUACGCGUAUCUGUCUGAAAGUAUCGUACGAAUAAGGCUCGGCUAACUCCGUGCCAGCAGCCGCGGUAAUACGGAGGAUUCAAGCGUUAUCCGGAUUUAUUGGGUUUAAAGGGUGCGUAGGCGGUCGGAUAAGUUAGAGGUGAAAUCCCGAGGCUCAACUUCGGAAUUGCCUCUGAUACUGUUCGGCGAGAGAGUAGUGGCGGUAGGCGGAAUGUAUGGUGUAGCGGUGAAAUGCUUAGAGAUCAUACAGAACACCGAUUGCGAAGGCAGCUUACCAAGCUACUUCUGACGUUGAGGCACGAAAGCGUGGGGAGCAAACAGGAUUAGAUACCCCGGUAGUC